RNAcentral lists this ribosomal RNA (422 nucleotides) under uncultured Bacteroides sp. RNAcentral describes it as "bacterial SSU rRNA". It matches the Rfam family "Bacterial small subunit ribosomal RNA", at positions 355 to 774 of the family's 1533-position model. The record is from RNAcentral. Lineage: Bacteria; Pseudomonadati; Bacteroidota; Bacteroidia; Bacteroidales; Bacteroidaceae.
UGAGGAAUAUUGGUCAAUGGGCGAGAGCCUGAACCAGCCAAGUAGCGUGAAGGACGAAGGCCCUAUGGGUCGUAAACUUCUUUUAUAGGGGAAUAAAGUUCGGAACGUGUUCCGUUUUGUAUGUACCCUACGAAUAAGGAUCGGCUAACUCCGUGCCAGCGGCCGCGGUAAUACGGAGGAUCCGAGCGUUAUCCGGAUUUAUUGGGUUUAAAGGGAGCGUAGGUGGAUAUAUAAGUCAGCUGUGAAAGUUUGCGGCUCAACCGUAAAAUUGCAGUUGAUACUGUAUAUCUUGAGUGUACAAGAGGUGGGCGGAAUUCGUGGUGUAGCGGUGAAAUGCUUAGAUAUCACGAAGAACUCCGAUUGCGAAGGCAGCUCACUAGCGUACAACUGACACUGAGGCUCGAAAGUGUGGGUAUCAAACA